Molecule: ribosomal RNA, 492 nt
Filed under: uncultured bacterium
Lineage: Bacteria
Description: partial 16S ribosomal RNA
Rfam family: Bacterial small subunit ribosomal RNA
Source: RNAcentral
AGUGAACGCUGGCGGUAGGCCUAACACAUGCAAGUCGAACGGCAGCACAGUAAGAGCUUGCUCUUACGGGUGGCGAGUGGCGGACGGGUGAGGAAUACAUCGGAAUCUACUUUUUCGUGGGGGAUAACGUAGGGAAACUUACGCUAAUACCGCAUACGACCUACGGGUGAAAGCAGGGGAUCUUCGGACCUUGCGUGAUUGAAUGAGCCGAUGUCGGAUUAGCUAGUUGGCGGGGUAAAGGCCCACCAAGGCGACGAUGCGUAGCUGGUCUGAGAGGAUGAUCAGCCACACUGGAACUGAGACACGGUCCAGACUCCUACGGGAGGCAGCAGUGGGGAAUAUUGGACAAAGGGCGCAAGCCUGAUCCAGCCAUACCGCGUGGGUGAAGAAGGCCUUCGGGUUGUAAAGCCCUUUUGUUGGGAAAGAAAAGCAGCAGGUUAAUACCCCGCUGUUCUGACGGUACCCAAAGAAUAAGCACCGGCUAACUUCGUG